Neodiprion fabricii is the source of this 719-nucleotide long non-coding RNA. RefSeq lists it as uncharacterized. NCBI's taxonomy places the organism in Eukaryota, Metazoa, Arthropoda, Insecta, Hymenoptera, Diprionidae. The transcript has 3 exons. The record is from RefSeq and is a predicted model, not a curated record.
AAGGUGGACGAGGAGGACAAGGAUUUGUGCACGGAUUCGAGUUAUAACUCGAGGUGGUUAGCGGUCGUCGUUGGAGGUGAUCGGAGGUGGUUAGGGGUGGUUGCGGGUGAUCGAGGUGGACGAGGUGGAGGCCGAGGAGAAGAAGGACGAGGAUGACAGGGAUUUGUGUACGGAUUUGAGUUACAACCCGACGUGGUUAGUGGUGGUCGUUGGAUGUGAUCGGAGGUGGUUAGGGGUGGUUGCGGGUGAUCAAGGUGGACGAGAUGGAGGCCGAGGAGAAGGAGGACGAGGAUGACGAGGAUUUGUGUACUAUAAAUAUACCACUUAUAUAAUAUUCAACAGAGUGGGAGUGGGAGUAGGAGUACGAGUAGAAAAAGGAGUAGGAUCGGGAGUAGGAGUAGGAAUAGCAGUAGGAGUAGAAGUGGGAGUAGAAUUAGGAUCAGGAGUGAGAUCAGAAGUAGGAGUAGAAAUAGGAGUGGGAGGAUAAUCUAUAAAGAGGGAUACAAUAUCGAAUAAUCACGACCAGGUAGUUAUAAGUAUCGUUUAGAAUAGAAUAACACACGAUUUGCUCAAACACGCAAACGGUCAAAUUUAGUGAUUCUGCAGCUUCUCUGCAUUUGAAUUUGAAUUUGUCCGUCAGCGUGCACUGUUGUAUAAACUCAAACACUUUAUAAAUUGUUACUUUCGAUAUCUAAGUCAUCAUCGUCAUUCAUUGUUAC